RNAcentral lists this ribosomal RNA (427 nucleotides) under uncultured Spirochaeta sp. RNAcentral describes it as "bacterial SSU rRNA". It matches the Rfam family "Bacterial small subunit ribosomal RNA", at positions 355 to 774 of the family's 1533-position model. Lineage: Bacteria; Pseudomonadati; Spirochaetota; Spirochaetia; Spirochaetales; Spirochaetaceae. The record is from RNAcentral.
CUAAGAAUCUUCCGCAAUGGGCGAAAGCCUGACGGAGCGAUGCCGCGUGAUCGAUGAAGGUCGAGAGAUUGUAAAGAUCUUUUCUGGCUGAGGAAUAAGUGUGGGAGGGAAUGCCCGCAUGAUGACGUUAAGCCAGGAAUAAGCCCCGGCUAAUUACGUGCCAGCAGCCGCGGUAACACGUAAGGGGCGAGCGUUGUUCGGAAUUAUUGGGCGUAAAGGGCACGCAGGCGGUUAUACAAGUCCGAUGUUAAAGACCUGGGCUUAACUCAGGGGAUGCGUUGGAAACUGUAUGACUAGAAUCUUGGAGGGGGAGUCGGAAUUCCUAGUGUAGGGGUGAAAUCUGUUGAUAUUAGGAAGAACACCGGUGGCGAAGGCGGACUCCUGGCCGAAGAUUGACGCUGAGGUGCGAAAGCAUAGGGAGCAAACA